CUUUGCAGGCUCCUCCUGAGGCCGGGGCGCCGGGCCUGAGCUCUCAGGCCGUCCUGGACCAACUGAAGAAGCAGUUCCCGAGGUCCCCUCCUCACUUGCGGGCGCGGCUGGACAGCCUUUACUACUUGAUCCAGAAGGUUCGGCAGGAUCUGCAGGAACACCACAGGCAGACAGAACAUUUUCGGCGGCUCCUGGAGAGAUGCCGCCUGCCCCAGGGCUUCCAGCCG
This is an RNA transcript of Pipistrellus kuhlii (Kuhl's pipistrelle), 227 nucleotides long. RefSeq lists it as uncharacterized. The transcript is spliced from 4 exons. The record is from RefSeq and is a predicted model, not a curated record. NCBI's taxonomy places the organism in Eukaryota, Metazoa, Chordata, Mammalia, Chiroptera, Vespertilionidae.